This 206-nucleotide long non-coding RNA is filed under the name Carica papaya (papaya). RNAcentral's name for it is "long non-coding RNA (CPAP_LNC000970)". The record is from RNAcentral. Lineage: Eukaryota; Viridiplantae; Streptophyta; Magnoliopsida; Brassicales; Caricaceae.
ACUUUCACUAACAAGAUCAAUAUUAUCGGCAAGAGCGAAAAGAUCUUUGAGAAGACUAACGGAAACUGAAGUUGUUCCAACUACGAGACAUUUACUUUGUCUUCUACGUUUGUGUUGAUUCCCCUACAAAUUACUUUAUGUCACCAUUGACUGGAUUCAAAAGGGCAGACAUCUCCUUCGUCUAAUGUCUUGAAAGAAAUUGGGAU